CGACAAUGUUUCCUGUAUCUGAGAAUAAAAUAAAGACUUGGCCAAGUAGGGGAAUGAAAGUCUCGGUUAUUGCUACAACAGAAUUCAAUGAAAAACAGUAACAUCAAACAUGGAAUGAAGUUGAAAAUCAUGCAGUCGCUACAGCAGGCAAAAGGCCACUGUGCCGGAGCAGUGGUUCUGGUGACGGUUCCCGACCUCGAAAUUGAACAAAAACCUCUAAUGGAGCUUUUCCACCACCAAGAGCAAGAACGGUUUCUCGGAAUCUAUGCCCAGUUUCCCUUACAGCCUUGCUAUCAUUCAACCCAGCAUCCUCAAAUGCAGAAAAGGCAUCAGCAGAU
Molecule: unclassified non-coding RNA, 338 nt
Filed under: Hevea brasiliensis (rubber tree)
Lineage: Eukaryota; Viridiplantae; Streptophyta; Magnoliopsida; Malpighiales; Euphorbiaceae
Source: RNAcentral